AAAAAUCGAGUUUCAACUCCCAAACCCCAAUGUGAACGUUACCAAUCUGUUGCCUCGGCGGGAUUCUCUUGCCCCGGGCGCGUCGCAGCCCCGGAUCCCAUGGCGCCCGCCGGAGGACCAACUCCAAACUCUUUUUUUCUCUCCGUCGCGGCUCCCGUCGCGGCUCUGUUUUAUUUUUGCUCUGAGCCUUUCUCGGCGACCCUAGCGGGCGUCUCGAAAAUGAAUCAAAACUUUCAACAACGGAUCUCUUGGUUCUGGCAUCGAUGAAGAACGCAGCGAAAUGCGAUAAGUAAUGUGAAUUGCAGAAUUCAGUGAAUCAUCGAAUCUUUGAACGCACAUUGCGCCCGCCAGUAUUCUGGCGGGCAUGCCUGUCCGAGCGUCAUUUCAACCCUCGAACCCCUCCGGGGGGUCGGCGUUGGGGAUCGGCCCCUCACCGGGCCGCCCCCGAAAUACAGUGGCGGUCUCGCCGCAGCCUCUCCUGCGCAGUAGUUUGCACACUCGCACCGGGAGCGCGGCGCGGCCACAGCCGUAAAACACCCCAAACUUCUGAAAUGUUGACCUCGGAUCAAGUAAGAAUACCCCGCUGAACUUAAGCAUAUCAUA
RNAcentral lists this ribosomal RNA (603 nucleotides) under Trichoderma longibrachiatum. RNAcentral describes it as "eukaryotic LSU rRNA". The stretch from base 229 to 382 matches the Rfam family "5.8S ribosomal RNA". The record is from RNAcentral. Lineage: Eukaryota; Fungi; Ascomycota; Sordariomycetes; Hypocreales; Hypocreaceae.